This 172-nucleotide ribosomal RNA is filed under the name uncultured bacterium. RNAcentral's name for it is "partial 16S ribosomal RNA". It matches the Rfam family "Bacterial small subunit ribosomal RNA", at positions 335 to 524 of the family's 1533-position model. The record is from RNAcentral.
ACUCCUACGGGAGGCAGCAGUGGGGAAUCUUGGACAAUGGGCGCAAGCCUGAUCCAGCCAUGCCGCGUGAGUGAAGAAGGUCUUCGGAUUGUAAAGCUCUUUUGCCAGGGACGAUAAUGACGGUACCUGGAGAAUAAGCCCCGGCAAACUUCGUGCCAGCAGCCGCGGUAAU